GACGAACGCUGGCGGCGUGCUUAACACAUGCAAGUCGAACGGAAAGGCCCUGCAUUUUGGGGGUGCUCGAAUGGCUAACGGGUGAGUAACACGUGAGUGACCUGCCCUUGACUUUGGGAUAACUUCAGGAAACUGGGGCUAAUACCGGAUAGUAGCUCCUGCUGCAUGGUGGGGGGGGGAAAGUUUCGGCGGUUGGGGACGGACUCGCGGCUUAUCAGCUUGUUGGUGGGGUAGUGGCUUACCAAGGCUUUGACGGGUAGCCGUCCUGAGAGGGUGACCGGCCACAUUGGGACUGAGAUACGGACCAGACUCCUACGGGAGGCAGCAGUGGGGAAUAUUGUGCAAUGGGCGGAAGCCUAAUGCAGCAACGCCGCGUGCGGGAUGACGGCCUUCGGGUUGUAAACCGCUUUCGCCUGUGACGAAGCGUGAGUGACGGUAAUGGGUAAAGAAGCACCGGCUAACUACGUG
This 468-nucleotide ribosomal RNA is filed under the name uncultured bacterium. Its description in RNAcentral is "partial 16S ribosomal RNA". It matches the Rfam family "Bacterial small subunit ribosomal RNA", at positions 28 to 507 of the family's 1533-position model. The record is from RNAcentral.